AUUGAACGCUGGCGGCAGGCCUAACACAUGCGAGUCGAAUGGUAACAGGAAACAGCUUGCUGUUUCGCUGACGAGUGGCGGACGGGUGAGUAAUGUCUGGGAAACUGCCUGAUGGAGGGGGAUAACUACUGGAAACGGUAGCUAAUACCGCAUAACGUCGCAAGACCAAAGAGGGGGACCUUCGGGCCUCUUGCCAUCAGAUGUGCCCAGAUGGGAUUAGCUAGUAGGUGGGGUAACGGCUCACCUAGGCGACGAUCCCUAGCUGGUCUGAGAGGAUGACCGGCCACACUGGAACUGAGACACGGUCCAGACUCCUACGGGAGGCAGCAGUGGGGAAUAUUGCACAAUGGGCGCAAGCCUGAUGCAGCCAUGCCGCGUGUAUGAAGAAGGCCUUCGGGUUGUAAAGUACUUUCAGCGGGGAGGAAGGGAGUAAAGUUAAUACCUUUGCUCAUUGACGGUACCCGCAGAAGAAGCACCGGCUAACUCCGUG
This 490-nucleotide ribosomal RNA is filed under the name uncultured bacterium. RNAcentral describes it as "partial 16S ribosomal RNA". It matches the Rfam family "Bacterial small subunit ribosomal RNA", at positions 30 to 507 of the family's 1533-position model. The record is from RNAcentral.